ACGGCUCAGUAACACGUGGACAACCUACCCAAAGGUCUGGGAUAACUCCGGGAAACUGGGAAUAAUACCGGAUAGGUCAAGAGUACUGGAAGGGUUUUUUGAUUGAAAGCUCUGGCGCCUUUGGAUGGGUCUGCGGCUGAUUAGGUUGACGCCGGUGUAAAGUACCGGCGUGCCGAUUAUCAGUACGGGUUGUGGGAGCAAGAGCCCGGAGAUGGAUUCUGAGACACGAAUCCAGGCCCUACGGGGCGCAGCAGGCGCGAAAACUCUACAAUGCAGGCAACUGCGAUAGGGGAACAUCGAGUGGCAUCUACAUUAGGUGUCUGUCCAGCUGUCUAAAAAACGGCUGUUAGCAAGGGCCGGGCAAGACCGGUGCCAGCCGCCGCGGUAAUACCGGCGGCUCGAGUGGUGGCCGAUAUUAUUGAGUCUAAAGGGUCCGUAGCCGGCUUUGCAAGUCUUGUGGGAAAUCCAGCGGCUUAACCGUUGGGCGUCUGCGGGAUACUACAUUGCUUGGGACUGGGAGAGGUAGGAGGUACUCAGGGGGUAGGAGUGAAAUCCUGUAAUCCUCUGGGGACCACCGGUGGCGAAGGCGUCCUACCAGAACAGGUCCGACGGUGAGGGACGAAAGCUAGGGGCACGAACCGGAUUAGAUACCCGGGUAGUCCUAGCCGUAAACGAUGCCCGCUAGGUGUCACGGCAGUCGUGAACUGCCGUGGUGCCGUAGGGAAGCCGUGAAGCGGGCCACUUGGGAAGUACGACCGCAAGGUUGAAACUUAAAGGAAUUGGCGGGGGAGCAC
Molecule: ribosomal RNA, 794 nt
Filed under: uncultured Methanosarcinaceae archaeon
Lineage: Archaea; Methanobacteriati; Methanobacteriota; Methanomicrobia; Methanosarcinales; Methanosarcinaceae
Description: bacterial SSU rRNA
Rfam family: Archaeal small subunit ribosomal RNA
Source: RNAcentral